Molecule: long non-coding RNA, 288 nt
Organism: Esox lucius (northern pike)
Lineage: Eukaryota; Metazoa; Chordata; Actinopteri; Esociformes; Esocidae
Exons: 3
Source: RefSeq, a predicted model, not a curated record
UUAGAGCUAAGCAUCUUGGCCGGCUGACAAGUGACCAGAGUCACAGGAAAGAGUCUGUGCCUAGGCAGCGGGGCGAACCGAUAUGAAUCCACAGUAGGGCGGGGCUAUGAAGAGUGCAGGGGUGAGAGGAUUUCUCUAGGAGGGACUGUGAACAUCCGAGUGGGUCUGAAGGCAGUGAGUACGCUGGUGAUACUUUGGCCUCCAUACCAUGUGGGUGAAAUGGAAAUAAAAAACAAGAAGGCCAUUAUAAACACAACAAGAUCACAAGAACUGGAAGAAAAAAUAAAA